RNAcentral lists this ribosomal RNA (490 nucleotides) under uncultured bacterium. Its description in RNAcentral is "partial 16S ribosomal RNA". It matches the Rfam family "Bacterial small subunit ribosomal RNA", at positions 29 to 505 of the family's 1533-position model. The record is from RNAcentral.
AGUGAACGCUGGCGGUAGGCCUAACACAUGCAAGUCGAACGGCAGCACAGUAAGAGCUUGCUCUUACGGGUGGCGAGUGGCGGACGGGUGAGGAAUACAUCGGAAUCUACUUUUUCGUGGGGGAUAACGUAGGGAAACUUACGCUAAUACCGCAUACGACCUACGGGUGAAAGCAGGGGAUCUUCGGACCUUGCGCGAUUGAAUGAGCCAAUGUCGGAUUAGCUAGUUGGCGGGGUAAAGGCCCACCAAGGCGACGAUCCGUAGCUGGUCUGAGAGGAUGAUCAGCCACACUGGAACUGAGACACGGUCCAGACUCCUACGGGAGGCAGCAGUGGGGAAUAUUGGACAAUGGGCGCAAGCCUGAUCCAGCCAUACCGCGUGGGUGAAGAAGGCCUUCGGGUUGUAAAGCCCUUUUGUUGGGAAAGAAAAGCAGCAGGUUAAUACCCCGCUGUUCUGACGGUACCCAAAGAAUAAGCACCGGCUAACUUCG